UACGUAGGUGGCGAGCGUUGUCCGGAUUUACUGGGCGUAAAGAGCGCGCAGGCGGCUGGUCAAGUCCGAUGUGAAAGCUCCCGGCUUAACUGGGAAAUUGCAUCGGAAACUGAUCGGCUGGAAGGUGGGAGAGGGUAGCGGAAUUCCCGGUGUAGUGGUGAAAUGCGUAGAUAUCGGAAGGAACAUCAGUGGCGAAGGCGACUUCCUGGACCAAUACUGACGCUCAGGUGCGAAAGCGUGGGGAGCAAACAGG
This 253-nucleotide ribosomal RNA is filed under the name uncultured bacterium. RNAcentral's name for it is "partial 16S ribosomal RNA". It matches the Rfam family "Bacterial small subunit ribosomal RNA", at positions 524 to 776 of the family's 1533-position model. The record is from RNAcentral.